GCGGCGGCGGCGGCGGCGAGGGGGGGGAAGAUGGCGGACGUGCUCAGCGUCCUGCGACAGUACAACAUCCAGAAGAAGGAGAUUGUGGUGAAGGGAGACGAGGUGAUCUUCGGCGAGUUCUCCUGGCCCAAGAAUGUGAAGACCAACUAUGUAGUUUGGGGGACUGGAAAGGAAGGCCAGCCCAGAGAGUACUACACAUUGGAUUCUAUCUUGUUUCUACUUAAUAAUGUGCACCUUUCUCAUCCUGUUUAUGUCCGACGUGCCGCCACUGAAAAUAUUCCUGUGGUUAGAAGACCUGACCGAAAAGAUCUGCUUGGAUAUCUCAAUGGUGAAGCAUCAACAUCAGCAAGCAUAGACAGAAGUGCCCCUCUAGAAAUAGGUCUUCAGCGAUCUACCCAAGUCAAAAGAGCUGCAGACGAAGUUUUAGCAGAAGCAAAGAAACCACGAAUUGAGGAUGAAGAGUGUGUGCGUCUUGAUAAAGAAAGAUUGGCUGCUCGUUUGGAGGGUCACAAAGAAGGGAUUGUACAGACUGAGCAGAUCAGGUCUUUGUCUGAAGCUAUGUCAGUGGAAAAAAUUGCUGCAAUCAAAGCCAAAAUUAUGGCUAAGAAAAGAUCUACUAUCAAGACUGAUUUAGAUGAUGAUAUAACUGCCCUCAAACAGAGGAGUUUUGUGGACGCUGAGGUGGAUGUGACACGAGAUAUUGUCAGCAGAGAGAGAGUAUGGAGGACACGAACAACUAUCUUACAGAGCACAGGAAAGAAUUUUUCCAAGAAUAUUUUUGCAAUUCUUCAGUCUGUAAAAGCCAGAGAAGAAGGACGUGCUCCUGAACAGCGACCAGCUCCAAAUGCAGCACCUGUGGAUCCUACGUUGCGUACCAAACAGCCUAUCCCAGCUGCCUACAAUAGAUAUGACCAGGAAAGAUUCAAAGGAAAAGAAGAAACGGAAGGCUUCAAAAUUGACACUAUGGGUACCUACCAUGGUAUGACGCUGAAAUCUGUAACGGAGGGUGCAUCAGCCCGUAAGACCCAGACUCCUGCAGCACAGCCAGUACCAAGACCAGUUUCUCAAGCAAGACCUCCCCCAAAUCAGAAGAAAGGAUCUCGAACACCCAUUAUCAUAAUUCCUGCAGCUACCACCUCUUUAAUAACCAUGCUUAAUGCAAAGGACCUUCUACAGGACCUGAAAUUUGUCCCAUCAGAUGAAAAGAAGAAACAAGGCUGCCAACGAGAAAAUGAAACUUUAAUACAGAGAAGAAAAGAUCAGAUGCAACCAGGGGGCACUGCAAUUAGUGUCACAGUUCCUUAUAGAGUAGUAGACCAGCCGCUUAAACUUAUGCCUCAAGACUGGGAUCGGGUUGUAGCAGUUUUUGUGCAGGGUCCUGCAUGGCAGUUCAAAGGCUGGCCAUGGCUUUUGCCUGAUGGAUCACCAGUUGACAUAUUUGCUAAAAUUAAAGCCUUCCAUCUCAAAUAUGAUGAAGUUCGUCUAGAUCCAAACGUUCAGAAAUGGGAUGUAACAGUAUUAGAACUCAGCUAUCACAAACGUCAUUUGGAUAGACCAGUUUUCUUACGGUUCUGGGAAACAUUGGAUAGGUACAUGGUAAAGCAUAAAUCCCACUUGAGAUUCUGAAUUUUACUUGGUUUCCCAUUUUCUGGAGAUCUGGAUUAAGAAACAUGGAUAUACCUUGACCUAAAGACUGAGACUCAAGCUUUAUGAAUUUAUCAAGAACUUACAAAUGAAGAAGGUCACAGAUCCAUCUUUUAUAAGACCUUAUUUGAUGCUUUAUGCUUCAAAGGGAUGAUGCUUGUCAUCCAUAUAAGCAAACUUUUUGGCUUACAACUAUUUUUUUAAUAUUAGCCUUCUAGUCUGUAACGGAAAUUGUAUAUUUUGAUAGAAGUUUUUUCUCCAUUGGUUAAAUUAGCAUUACUUAAAAUUUGUUUCUUUAGAAAAUAAAUGCAGGUUAUAAAUGUGUGUAUAUUUAGAGGUUAUAAGGCUCUCUAAGCCAUCUUCUGAUUUUUCAUUGCUCUAUAAUUCCUUUUAUUGAAAAUAGUAUGCUAUGAAUGGUAUCAAAUUUUAUUCUCUGGAACUUCCAAAACUAGCAAAGGGAUGUGACUAUUUUGAAUGAAUCAGAAUGUCAACCUGUAUGUAUACUAUACCUAUACUUAUUCUUUAUUUAAAAAAGAAUAAUGAAAAAUCAAGAACAACUCUUCAGCUUUGGUUGAACUGUUCGGCCUUUUCAAGACUUCUUUACUUACAAUGAAUACAUUGAAUGAAUGUACAUUCUUCUUUCUCACUGACUUUGGUGAUUUUAAAACUUAGAAUGAUAUAUUUCUAUCUGUGCUAUCUUUCCACUUGAAAAAUCUCAGAAGACAGAUUAAAAACAUGAUAGGCUGUAGUACUUUUUGUUUUGGGAGCCAGAGUAUGUUUGGGGGAAAGAAAUGUAUUAGUCCUACUACAAUGUAACUUUAACUUUCUUAUCUUUCUCAUAAGUUCACCUUUGAAUCUUACUUUGUAUGUAUGGUAUAGGUUUUGAGUCUUCUGUUUCUAGGCAUGUUGAUCUUGGAGUUCUUAUCUUCCAUUAUCCCUAAAUAUUGAUAACUCUCCCAGACACCAAAGAACACAUUUGCUUAAUUAAGUGUCUGAACAGAAACAAGAUAAAAACACUGGUAUUUUUAUGUGCGUAUUCAAUAUCGUAUAAAAUAUAAAACCUAUAUUUUAACUUAGUAAAAUAUUUUACUACUUCUCUAGAGUGUUGCAUCCAAGGUACAAUGAAUGAGCAUUUUCCUUGAGUCUUGAUUUCACCUUUUAUUACUUAAAAGCAACUGGAACCUCUACUCCCCUAAAGAGUUUUCGCCAUUAGGAUUGUUGCUGAUUGUUCAUCUUGUGUCAUUUUUUUCUCCAUUUUUUCCCCAGUGAUCUCUCUUAGAUGAACAUUUUUUUAGUAAACAUUUAGCUCCUUCUUAUGUUAUGCUGACAUUACCUAGCUUCAUUUUGAAAUUUAAUGCUAUCAUAAGAAUGAGAAGCACUUAUUUAUUUUUAAAGUAAUCACAAAAGUCCAUACCAAUAGUGGAUAGAAAAAAGUAUUUAUUCAUGUGGAAUUCACUAUGUUCUUAAGAAAAGCAGUCAGCAUUUUAAAUUAUUAGAUUAUAGGAUAUUUAUAAGGUUUGAACAGAUUCUACCCCCUUCCUUUCUGUGAACCUCUCUUCUUGAAAACAAAAGAACUCAAAUUUGUUCACUUUAGACUUUCUCAUCAUAUAAACUGUUUUCAAAAUGAAUUAAUGUAUUGUAUAAACUUUCUCCAUGAUGAAAUCGUCAAAGACUAGAAUCUGUACUAUUUUAAUGUAAGAUUACUUGUUAAGACUACUACAAGUGGACGAGAACUACCUUUCUAUAAAAAUUUUUAGUAUUUAUACUUAUGUCAUAUAUGAAAUUUACUUGAUACAGAGUGUGGUUAAAAUUGGGAACAUCUACUUUAAACAGGGUUUAUUUUUCUAUCUUGAAUUUGCCUUAUGUAUAUUCAAAGGCUUCUGGAAAUACUGUAAAGGAACAUUAGGAAAAGUACAAAUAUGCUAUGCUGUAUGUAUUUUAAAAUCAAACCCUUAGUAUGUACUUAAUUUUCUUUUUCUUUUUUCAGCAGUUCAGUCCCUCAUUUAGGUCCAUGUAAUUAAUGUAAUAGUCAUUAAUUCCAAAACAAUUUUUUUUCAGCCAGUCAUUAUUCGUUAUCUCAUGACUCCCAAGUCCUACAGCAGCACCUAUCACUGUGCCUUGCACAUAGUAGGCAUUCAGUAAAUAUUUAUAUGCAUGAAUUAAUGAACUUUUCAGUGUGACUGAUUUAUUACAAAAAGUACUUUGACUAGGUCUUGGAGUUUGAAAAUACAGAAAUACAGGGAAUGAAGAGGUACACAUAGAUGUUUAAUGGAAAUGAGGUAUACAUUAAUGACCUUGACUUACCAUAAGUUACUGUUAACUGGAGACACCCUUGCUUGUCCCAUUGGUAAAAGAAAACUCCCAUUUCUUUAUUCAUAGGACACUUUCUGAGUCAGGUAACAUUAAGAAACUUGUAGGUUUCAGUCAGUUAAUUGUUCAACCUUGACUGCACGUUAGAAUCACUUGGGGGACCUUUUAAAUAUUUAUUGCCUGAUUCCUGAUUCUGAUUUAAUUUGUGCUGAGACCUGAUCAUCAGUAUCUUUAAAAAGUUGUUUAGGUAAUUUCAUGUUCAGAAAGGAUUGAGAAUCACUGAUUUAAUUUGUUGUUGAAAACAAUGCCCAGUAUUAAAUGUCGUAUUUCCUCAUCUCCCGCCUUCCCUCCCUCCCUCCCUUCCAUCCUUCCUUCUCUCCGUUCUGCCCUCCCUCCUUCUCUCCCUUCUGCCCUCCCUCCUUCUCUCCCUUCUUUCCUUCUCCCUGCUUUCCUUCUUUCGUUCUUUGUUUCCUGCUUUUACUUUUCCUCUUGGUGGCCACCCUUUGCACUAGACUGACCCCCUUAUUGAUGGUAUUGGCCUGUAGUUCCACAUAACAAAUUCAAGUCUUAUUUAUUUAAUAUAGGAGUAUUUUGCUGUUUAAUAUUUAAACAAUGUUUAAUAUAUUGCAUUAUAAACUAGUAUUAUAGUUUAUGAUUUGUUUCCCAUGUGUCCUUAUCCUUAUUUUUUUUUUAACAGCAGCAUGAUAACAAUCCAUACAGAAAUAACUAGUUCAUAAUGAGGAAAAUUUCAUAAUAAUUUUUAAGGUAGAAGAACGUAAAGGAUUAAUUUCUUAUCUGCCAUGCAGAAUUAGUUUGCUUAUGAAAGGAAAGAGGCAUCCUUUUUAAUUGGUCUGCACAGAAAAGUAAAUUAUUCAUUUAAAUAAAAUUCAUUAUCAAACAUUGAAGGAAAUAUUUUUCCAAAAUAAAAAUUUUUGUGACUCCUAACAAAGUUAAAGUGAUACAUUGUUCUUUUUUGGAGGGUGGGGAGGGAGUAUUUAGUUUCCAUAUUUCUUACUAUAUAACAAUUCCAUUUUAUUGGUAUUAACAGUAGAAAAUGAUGAUAGGAUACACAUUAUGUGGCCAGAAAUAAAAUGCCACUUUGUCAGAUAACAAUUAUCUGAGUCUUAGUUGUUGAACUAAUUAGUUUAUAAAACUUUUUGAGACCAACAGUGUAUUUUAUAAAUAUUAUAAAAGCUGACCAAAAUUAAAACAUGAAAAAUAAAUUUGAUUACAUGAGCCUUAAAUAUUACUUGACUGAAUUUUUAUUCACUUGGAUUUGAUAGUCAACUGGUUACCCUAACCAUAGUAAAUUAACUUUAGAAAUAAAAAAGUAAAAAUCACUGAAUUUGACUUAAGAACUGGAUUAGGAAUUUUGAAAUGUCAUGUCCUGUAUGUUCUGGCCUAUCCAAUGCCACAUUUGGCUGUAUAGUGAUGCCAGCAUGGUUUCUAUCUGUAUAUGUUGGAAUGAUAACCAAGGAAAAAUUGGAAAUGUAUAAUAGGUGUAUAAAAAUUAUAUUUAGUAAAUGCAUAAUAUGCAGUAAUACUUUCAGGUCAUUCAUCUUUUGGGGCUUAUAUGUAUUAUUUUAGGUAGUGUUUAUUAGACUGAUCUUGAGAGUUAUAUAUAAAUGUAUGCCAUUUAAAUGAGUAAAUCUAAGGAGAUUAAUUUUAUUGCCAAAAUUCAAAAAGUGAAGUGAUGGUAUGUCAAAUUUAGGUAGGUGAUGUAUCUCUCUGAGAGUUUUGUUUGCUACUGAAUUCCAUUUCUAUCCAGUUUAAGUUUGCUAAAAGCUACUUAACCUCCAAGUUUGGUUAUAUAGUGCUUUAUAUAUAAUGUAGUUCAUUUACAUGGUAUAGGCACUAUAAAUGAUUGUUUACCCCCCAGUUUGUAUAUUUCUCAUGCAGUGGAACUUAAAUUUAGGCCCUGUGACCUGAUUAAAUGUUAUACUCAUUCUUACUCCAUUUCAGUGGAUUUUUAAGUUUCAACUUGUAAAUAAGUUUUGGGUAUAUUCCCACCCCCACUUUUGCCCUAGUCUUCUUCCUUCCAACCAAAAACACAUUCAACCAAGAAUACAGAAACUGUAUUGUGGUGUAGGAUAUGGACGAUGACAGUCUUUUCAAAAAGGGAUUUAUGAGAUUUUUCAGGCAUUGUAUUUGUUUUGAAAAUAAACGUAAUGGAAGUUUUCACUUUGAAAACUAAAGAGUUAAGUACAUUUACAGUCUUCUGUUAAUGUGUUAAAUACUGGAGAGAAUCACAAUUCUUCCUAAAAGUAACAAGCUACAUGCUCUAAUGAGCUUAGUUUGGUUAUUGUCCAACUUACCAAGUCCUUAUUGUUAGAAUGUUAUUUACCAGCAUACACUCUUAAUUCUAUUAUCUUUCAGCAGUUUGGGCACCCGGAUUUUAACAUUUUGUAGUUUGAAAACAAACUGCACUCCGCAUAUAAUCAAAUCAUUAACAACAUCAUGGUAUUAUUGGUGGUGCCAGUAAUAAUGUUUAACUCUUUUGCAACAAAAUUCCUUUAAUGAAGUGUUUAAUGGGCCCUAUUCAAAUUUAAUUUCCAUUCAGUUCAUAAGUGCCUACUAAAUAUGUAUUUUAUCCUGCUCUUCUGUUCAUUUGAUCAUCUGCUUUUAGGCAGAUGAACAUUCACAUAACUAAAAUAGAUACAGCAGGAGUUGUAAAUGCUGUUGGAUUUUUUAAGGCUCAAAGGUGCUAGUAUAUAAGAGCACAUUGCCAAAUAAGCUUUUUUUGUUCUCAUUUUCUAAAACAGUUUCCAUUUAUUUUUAAUUAAUGAUCAGUGUUUAUAGUGAGUUGGAAAACAUCCUCUUAAUUUCCUUCAGUGACCAUAAAAAAAAACAUUAAAAAAGCAGCUCUAGAGAAGGCUAUGGUGUUGAGUCUGUCAUAAUUAUUUGUAGAUACUUUAUCAUAGAACUGUAGUUUAUAAUUCACCGUCAUCUAGAGAAUAUUGAUUUAUAUUACAUGACUAAUGUAAAUAGGGCUCAGGCCACAUAAGACCGAAGACAUCAGAGGUUUAGUUAAUCACAUUUGAAUAUUUUAUUGCGCUGUGAUUGAUUUGCCAAAAAAAAUCCAAAUGGAAACACAUUGGGUUAUACAGCAGUGACUAUGAUAAAAUAUGAUAAUGUAUACUCACAGAACUUGCCUUCAUGGAGUUUAACAUGUUAAAAAUGUAAAUAUGGUAAUGGCAUCAAUUUCUCUUUUUAAAAUUGUUAAAUAAUGAUGUGUUUUUCUUUAAAAUGGAAUAGUUUGAAAUUUUAUCAAGUUGGUGUAUGUAAUGGUUGGGGAAGAUCAAAUGGGCUUGCUCAUGGCAUAUUCAAUCAUGACAUAACUAAUGUUUAUGGUCAUUUUGACUGUAAAGCAGUUUUAAAGUAUUUGUAUUUUUAUUUACAUGUUUUUAUUUCAUAAUGCACCACUGAGUACAAAAAAGGAAGUGUAAGGGUUACUGAUGAUGAAAUAAAGUGAGGGUGUUAAUGUAGAUUAAAGCAAGUUGAUGUAGGAAUUUGAGGAGAAAGAAGAAAUUAUAUGGGAACUCACAACUCCAUGGGGAAAAAAAUACAUAGUAAGAAUUGGGCAGUGAUGUAUCUUUUGGGGGAUUGGUCAUAAAUUUAAAUGAAACGAGGCAAACUGUGGUGUGAUUUUUUUUUUUUUCCCAGCAGCAUUUAGGUACUUGAUUCCAGGUGUAGAAAAAGCAAAUAGAUUUUUAACUUUUGAUAGAAGUAGAAACAGACCAGGGAGGUGAAGAUAUUCACAAAGGUGGUGAUUAUAGUACCAGAACAUGGAAUCUAAGCUCUUCGAGGGAUAAAUGAUGGAGAGGAAGUGGUGGAUUGUAUGAAAGUGGUGCUGACCCACGAACUGAAACCUUCAGUGAAAUGAAGCUAAAAGUGAGCCUAAAAGACAAGAAGGGUAAAGAGAGGACUUCAUAAAGGAACAAAAAAAGAAAAACAAUCUCCAGGCUUUAAAGAAUGACUACAAAUAAAUGUUUCCCAAGUGAGACCAUUUAUCUUGAGGAUAUGCAAGGAUCCAAAGAGUAUAUCUCCCAAGUAACCUCGGUUGAGGAACAGGGACAUUAGAACUUUUAAGAACUUCAAACAAAUGACGAAUUAAAGAUCUGUGUUCUGUGAUAGAGUGGGAAUUUGAAAUGUUAAGUGGUAAGUAAGAGUUCCUCAAGUGGGAAAGACAUACUACCUGGAAAAUCUCACAUCAGUAACUACAGAUAUUAAGCUAUUUCAGCAAAGAUGUGGGGGCUGAGCUGAGCAGGGAGUAAAGAGUGAGCACCCUAAAUUUCUCAUCCCUGAUGAGAAAAAUGAUUUCAUGGAAGAUGACCAACACUUGUUCUUGCAACUAAUCAGAAGUUCUGUAUUUUUGACAAAUAGCUUUCUAAAACCCACUUAAAGCACUUUGAAAUAUUUAGGGGGAAAAAAACAAACUUGUUUUAAGGUUUUGGAGAUUUUUAAAUAGGUCAGGAAAUUAUUUGCAAUUGUGAAAUUGUGAAGGUAUGACCAUUUUGAUAGGUAUAUUUAUGUUUUCAACGCAAAAGCACAAAAUAAAUAUCUCCAAUAACCAUUUUUAAAAUGUUCUUUCCAUAGCACAAUUUUUUUCCAACAGUAAUUACUUUCUUGUUCAUUCACAGACUUCUGAUCAUCUGACUUCAUAGUAAUUUCUAACCUUGUUAUUUAGCAAAGAGCUAACUUAGGUUUAAGAGGAAGGUCAACUCUCAUUUUCUUGUUCCCACUUGGUUCCAUUAUUACUGUUAUCUUUGUGUUUUUGUUUUGUUUUGUUUUUUCCCUCCCUCAGAGAUCUCUUUAUGCCACUUUUCCAUUUUGUAAAGUAUCUAUAAAGUGUUGUCUGUUUCAUUAUGCUGGAUGAGGGAAUGGGAACUUCAUUGUCAGGUCUUUUUCUUCCCUCAGUUCACCUUGUACUGUGUACAGAUAAAGUGAAGGCAUCUGUGUCAAUUCAUAUAUUAACUAUUAAUAAAGCUUAACUUAAAUGCAAA
This is an RNA transcript of Lynx canadensis (Canada lynx), 8957 nucleotides long. It is a transcript of the gene named cell division cycle 73, with no coding region annotated. NCBI's taxonomy places the organism in Eukaryota, Metazoa, Chordata, Mammalia, Carnivora, Felidae. The transcript has 18 exons. The record is from RefSeq and is a predicted model, not a curated record.